RNAcentral lists this ribosomal RNA (376 nucleotides) under uncultured bacterium. RNAcentral's name for it is "bacterial SSU rRNA". It matches the Rfam family "Bacterial small subunit ribosomal RNA", at positions 28 to 404 of the family's 1533-position model. The record is from RNAcentral.
GACGAACGCUGGCGGCGUGCUUAACACAUGCAAGUCGAGCGGUAAGGCCCUUUCGGGGUACGACGAGCGGCGAACGGUGAGUAACACGUGGGUGACCUGCCUUUAGUCUCUGGGAGUAAGCCUGGGAAACCGGGUCUAAUACCGGAUAUGACUCCGCGGCGCAUGUUGUGGGGUGGAAAGCCUUGUGCGGCUGGAGAUGGGCCCGCGGCCUAUCAGCUUGUUGGUGGGGUGAUGGCCUACCAAGGCGACGACGGGUAGCCGGCCUGAGAGGGCGACCGGCCACACUGGGACUGAGACACGGCCCAGACUCCUACGGGAGGCAGCAGUGGGGAAUCUUGCGCAAUGGGCGAAAGCCUGACGCAGCGACGCCGCGUGA